AUGAGUGGAGGUAACAAUGGUUCCGGAAAGGUGGAGUGGCCGGAGCUGUUGGGCGCCCCGGCGACGCCGGCGGUGAGCAAGAUCCGCCGGGACAGGCCGGACGUCAACGUGGUGGUGCUCCCGGACCAAACUCCGGUGCCCAUUGGGUUCAACAGCAAGCGCGUCCGCGUCUUCUACGACUCGCAACAGCCCGGUGCACUUGUCGCCAACAUCCCCAUGGUCGGCUAG
Molecule: ribosomal RNA, 228 nt
Filed under: Triticum aestivum (bread wheat)
Lineage: Eukaryota; Viridiplantae; Streptophyta; Magnoliopsida; Poales; Poaceae
Description: partial small subunit ribosomal RNA
Source: RNAcentral